CUCACAGACACCAGGACUGAUGAGGAAGAAACGAGCAGCUCCUUCUCUCCCACAGUUUCCUCGACUCAUGAAGGUGGAAAGUGUCUGUAAGUGGACCUGAAGUGAGUUCAGCAGGUAAAAUCGACAGUUUGAUUGUAAUCUGAGUUCACGUCAUCAGUGAAAAAUGUCUGGAAUGUCUGAACCGGUCUGACAGCUUGGAUCCACUCAGCUCAGACUUGGACUGUGAAGUUGUGAGGGUGUGAUGGCGUCCUCAGCUCAGACGCUCACAGACACCAGGACUGAUGAGGAAGAAACGAGCAGCUCCUUCUCUCCCACAGUUUCCUCGACUCAUGAAGGUGGAAAGUGUCUGUAAGUGGACCUGAAGUGAGUUCAGCAGGUAGAAUCGAGUUCACGUCAUCAGUGAAAAAUGUCUGGAAUGUCUGAACCGGUCUGACAGCUUGGAUCCACUCAGCUCAGACUUGGACUGUGAAGUUGUGAGGGUGUGAUGGCGUCCUCAGCUCAGACGCUCACAGACACCAGGACUGAUGAGGAAGAAACGAGCAGCUCCUCCUCUCCCACAGUUUCCUCCACACAUGAAGGUGGAA
This is a long non-coding RNA of Centropristis striata (black sea bass), 584 nucleotides long. RefSeq lists it as uncharacterized. NCBI's taxonomy places the organism in Eukaryota, Metazoa, Chordata, Actinopteri, Perciformes, Serranidae. The transcript is spliced from 5 exons. The record is from RefSeq and is a predicted model, not a curated record.